Oreochromis niloticus (Nile tilapia) is the source of this 320-nucleotide long non-coding RNA. RefSeq lists it as uncharacterized. The transcript has 2 exons. Lineage: Eukaryota; Metazoa; Chordata; Actinopteri; Cichliformes; Cichlidae. The record is from RefSeq and is a predicted model, not a curated record.
UUUCUGUACCACUUGGUGGCGACAAUCUACCACUUCGUUGUUUGACCCUCGAAGAAGAAGAACAGGAAGAAGAAGACACACGAAGAAGAAAAAGAAGCAGAAGGAGGACAACCAUGAGUGUUGGUGUUGGCGGUCAGCUGCAGAAAAGAAGUUCCCUUGAAGUGAGCCACGUGUGGAUGUGACUUGCAUGUAUGUAUGUCUAAAUGCCCAACAACAUAUUGUUAACUAAAUAUGCUUCCCAAUGAUUAUACCAAUCACUACCCAUCUGACCCAUUCAUAUGUCUGGGGAAGAUUAUACACACGCUUUCAAAUGAGGGUGU